Molecule: long non-coding RNA, 1516 nt
Filed under: Homo sapiens (human)
Lineage: Eukaryota; Metazoa; Chordata; Mammalia; Primates; Hominidae
Description: LHRI_LNC1397.3
Source: RNAcentral
GAAUAAGUCUCACAAGAUCUGACGGGUUUAUCAGGGGUUUCCGCUUUUGCUUCUUCCUCAUUUUUCUCUUGCCCCUUGCCACGCAAGAAGUGCCUUUUGCCUCCCACCAUAAUUCUGAGGCCUCCCCAACCAUGUGGAACUGAUUUCCACUGGUAGCGAGGAUCCUCUCUGGUGCUGAGGAUGUGGCCACGGGCGAGAGAGAAAGGGAGAGACACACACGGUGUCCGCAAGAUGAGUGAGGGAUACCCUGGGAGUUCAGCUGGAGCGGAGGGAAGGCACCAGGAUCUCAGCAGGGCCUGGCCUCCGGAAAGGACCCUGGUGAGAAGGCGGGCCCUGGGGAGACGUGGAGCGCCCAGCCCAGGGCGCGGGAGGCCCUGGCAUCCACUAUUCUACUUUCUGUCUCUAUGAGUUUGACCACUCUAGAGUCAUCAUAAGUAAUUUUAUGAUAAACGAAUAUUGUACUAUCCUGGGAAGCUGAAAGAGAAUCUGGACUGCACUGAAACCUGGAAAACAACAGACGCUGUUGGAUCGGGAAAUAUCUGACGGCAAACAGCACCAGGAGAUUACCAGUGAGGGAGAUACUCUCACCAUCGUCUGUUUCAUAGAUGAGGACACUGCCAAGGAUUUGCGUGCAUCACACAGCUCACGGCUGUCAGAGCUGGAAGUGGAGUGCGUUUCCACCUUGAGAAGCACACCAACACCUUUUUGUUUUCUUCUGUCUUUAAACGUAACUCCUUUCCAUGUGUAAAAAUUAAAUCAGGCUGGGUGCGGUGGCUCACGCCUGUAAUCCCAGCUCUUUGGGAGGCUGAGGCGGGUAGAUCAUAAGGUCAAGAGAUCGAGACCAUCCUGGCUAACAUGGUGAAACCCUGUCUCCACUAAAAAUACAAAAAUUAGCUGAGUGUGGUGGUGCGCGCCUGUAGUCCCAGCUACUCAGGAGGCGGAGACUGCAGUGAGCUGAGAUUGCACCAUUGUACUCCAGCAUGGGCAACAAAAGCGAAACUCCCUCUCAAAAAAAAAAAAAAAAAAAAAAUUAAAUCAGGGAACCAAACUGCCUGAAUUAUUUCAUUUUCUUUACUAAGAAAUUUAGAAAACUCUCCAUCUGAAAUACUUCCUUUUAAAAUUUAUUUUAUUUUCAUAAUACAUUUUCCAAUACAAGAAUAGGGAAUUCCCUGUGUUAGCAGGUGGCAGACUCCGGACCCUGGGACCCAUAUCCCAGCUUAAAGGGCCAUUCCUUCUUGCCCUGAAGCACCAUUGCACAGGGAGUAACUGGCACCCGGUGUUAACAUUGGAAACAUUUGGAUGGAAACAGAUUUUUACACUGGUUAUCAUCUGAUGAGGGUUUUAAGGGGAAAGUGUCAACAUAAAUUUGGAAUUUCCUGACUUCUGCGGAUCUGAGUUACAAUCCUGACAAAACUAGAAAGGAAAUCUUUAAAAAAUUUUUAGUGUUUUAUUGUGUGGAAAUGUCCCCAAACAUUUUCAUCCCAUUUUCCCAGAGAAACCUGACAGCUCUUGCGGG